RNAcentral lists this ribosomal RNA (400 nucleotides) under uncultured bacterium. RNAcentral describes it as "bacterial SSU rRNA". It matches the Rfam family "Bacterial small subunit ribosomal RNA", at positions 359 to 776 of the family's 1533-position model. The record is from RNAcentral.
GAAUAUUGGACAAUGGGCGCAAGCCUGAUCCAGCCAUGCCGCGUGGGUGAUGAAGGCCCUAGGGUUGUAAAGCCCUUUCGGCGGGGAAGAUAAUGACGGGACCCGCAGAAGAAGCCCCGGCGAACUUCGUGCCAGCAGCCGCGGUAAUACGAAGGGGGCUAGCGUUGCUCGGAACUACUGGGCGUAAAGCGCACGUAGGCGGAUUGUUAAGUCAGGGGUGAAAUCCCGGAGCUCAACUCCGGAACUGCCUUUGAUACUGGCGAUCUUGAGUUCGGGAGAGGUGAGUGGAACUGCGAGUGUAGAGGUGAAAUUCGUAGAUAUUCACAAGAACACCAGUGGCGAAGGCGGCUCACUGGCCCGAAACUGACGCUGAGGUGCGAAAGCGUGGGGAGCAAACAGG